GGAAGGGUGGCUGAGUUGGUUGAAGGUACCUGACUCGAAAUCAGGCGUACAGGAAACUGUAUCGGGGGUUCGAAUCCCUCCCCUUCCGCCA
This 91-nucleotide transfer RNA is filed under the name bacterium. RNAcentral's name for it is "tRNA-Ser". It matches the Rfam family "tRNA". Rfam says of the family: Transfer RNA (tRNA) molecules are approximately 80 nucleotides in length. Their secondary structure includes four short double-helical elements and three loops (D, anti-codon, and T loops). Further hydrogen bonds mediate the characteristic L-shaped molecular structure. tRNAs have two regions of fundamental functional importance: the anti-codon, which is responsible for specific mRNA codon recognition, and the 3' end, to which the tRNAs corresponding amino acid is attached (by aminoacyl-tRNA synthetases). tRNAs cope with the degeneracy of the genetic code in two manners: having more than one tRNA (with a specific anti-codon) for a particular amino acid; and 'wobble' base-pairing, i.e. permitting non-standard base-pairing at the 3rd anti-codon position. The record is from RNAcentral. RNAcentral also lists the same sequence under 1 other name.